UACAGAGGGUGCAAGCGUUGUUCGGAAUUAUUGGGCGUAAAGCGCGUGUAGGCGGCUUUGCAAGUCGGGUGUGAAAGCCCUCAGCUCAACUGAGGAAGUGCGCCCGAAACUGCAGAGCUUGAGUGCCGGAGAGGGUGGCGGAAUUCCAGGUGUAGCGGUGAAAUGCGUAGAUAUCUGGAGGAACACCGGUGGCGAAGGCGGCGAACUGGACGAUUACUGACACUCAAUUGCGAAAGCGUGGGGAGCAAACAGG
RNAcentral lists this ribosomal RNA (253 nucleotides) under uncultured bacterium. RNAcentral's name for it is "partial 16S ribosomal RNA". It matches the Rfam family "Bacterial small subunit ribosomal RNA", at positions 524 to 776 of the family's 1533-position model. The record is from RNAcentral.